This 460-nucleotide ribosomal RNA is filed under the name uncultured bacterium. RNAcentral's name for it is "partial 16S ribosomal RNA". It matches the Rfam family "Bacterial small subunit ribosomal RNA", at positions 338 to 795 of the family's 1533-position model. The record is from RNAcentral.
CCUACGGGUGGCAGCAGUGAGGAAUAUUGGUCAAUGGACGAGAGUCUGAACCAGCCAAGUAGCGUGUAGGAUGAAUGCCCUCUGGGUUGUAAACAUCUUUUAUAUGGGAAUAAAAUGUUACACUAGUGAGAUUUUGUAUGUACCAUACGAAUAAGGAUCGGCUAACUCCGGGCCAGCAGCCGCGGUAAUACGGAGGAUCCGAACGUUAUCCGGAUUUAUUGGGUUUAAAGGGAGCGUAGGUGGAUUGUUAAGUCAGUUGUGAAAGUUUGCGGCUCAACCGUAAAAUUGCAGUUGAAACUGGCAGGCUUGAGUACAGUAGAGGUGGGCGGAAUUCGUGGUGUAGCGGUGAAAUGCGUAGAGAUGACGAAGAACUCCGAUUGCGAAGGCAGUUCACUGGACAGCAACUGACACUGAGGCGCGAAAGCGUGGGUAGCAAACAGGAUUAGAUACCCGUGUAGUC